RNAcentral lists this long non-coding RNA (557 nucleotides) under Homo sapiens (human). Its description in RNAcentral is "NNT antisense RNA 1". Lineage: Eukaryota; Metazoa; Chordata; Mammalia; Primates; Hominidae. The record is from RNAcentral.
AACUCCGCGGCGGCGGGCGGCCACGUGACUGCAGCUCCGCUCCCACCUCGGCCCGCGCCCCUUCCCCGCCCCAGCUUUCUUCCCGCCAGGCCCCCUCCACCCGAUCGCCGCGCGCUCUCCGAACCAAAAGGCGACCUCACGAAAUGCCCCUUUGAGCUCAAAGGCUAGUUACCCCCAGGGGCCCUUCCACUCUCGGGGACAGGCGAAACCUCUUUGUCUCUGCCUCGGCCUGCGGCCCCCAGCCCAGCCUCCGCGCUUUCCCUCCGCCAGUCCUUGUCAAUCAAACCUGGUGCCAAACGCGGCAGCUGAAGUUUUCAGGGACACAUUUGCUUCUCCCCUUGAAGAACCAGUUACAAAGCGUGAUGUCCUCUCUGGGGUCCCAUCAGAACAAAGAAACAGGCUGUACAAGAAGCAUGAUGCCAGCAUCUGCUUCUGGUGACAACCUCAAGAAGUUUACAAUUGGCCGCGUGCGGUGGCUCAUGCCUGUAAUGCCAGCACUUCGGGAGGCGGAGACAGAUGGAUCAUUUGAGGUCAGGAGUUCGAGACCAGGCUGGCCA